AUAGUUCUCUCUCAUCUCUCUUAUAUCUCUUGUCUCUCUUGUCUGCCUCUCUCCACGGUCUUGUUCUUCCCACCUUGUCGCCUUGCCUUCGCCACAACCAUAGACAGAGAGACUCUGUCUCUCGUGUCUCCCUCUCUCCAUGCUCUCUCUCUCCCCCUUUCCUCUCCCGUCUCUUUCUUUCUCCUCCCCUCUUCUAGUUCAGAGGGAUUUGGGUUUUAAUUUUAAGGUUACUGAUUUGGGUUUUAUCUAACCAUUUGGGUGUUGGCUUGCUGUUGCUCUACCUUGAUCACAAAAGUGCUUAGCUUUCUCAUCUCUCUUGCCCUCUGAAGCUUCGAUAGUACUAUCUUGCUAAGAAAAAAAUUCCUUUUAUCCAUGGAAAUACAAUGGGAGUAAAACUACAACAGUUCAUAUUUGAUGCGUUUUCAUACGCACCUUCAACUGCACAUUUUGAGAGAUUGUUGUGUAGUUUUUAGCCUAAAAAUACAAACCAAAAAGUGGAGUGGAUGCAGAGAUAGUUGUUUCACGAGCCACGCCGCUCAUCUUUAUUACUUUGCUCCUCAUGCGCCUUCAAACCCUUCACUUGAGUUGAGAGUUGAGAUCUUCAGCCCAACCUUUGGACUUGGCCUCCAAAACUGACAAGUAUUUGUAGCCUUUGAGUUGAGAGUUGAUAUCAGGCACAUGCAUAGUGGUAUACAUGAGGUAAUAGGCCACAUUUAAUAACAUAUAUAUUUUCUGUAACAAAUUGAUUUUACAAUGCACAGGUACUUACAUGAGGUGCUAAAAACGUCAAACAUGUUAAGCGUGAUUGGGUUUGUUGACCCUGCUAUAAUUGGUGCUCUAGGGUGUGGAGACAUUAGUCAAAGAUCACGUGUCUCAGCAACUCGGUUUUCAUCAGCACAUCCUGACAAGAUUUUCUUAAUUCUUUACAACUCCGGAUGCAGAUUAUGUUGGUGAUCCAAACUGUCGUCAUUCUUCUAGCGGCUACUGUGUGUACUUGGGCAACAACUUGGUAUCUUGGAGCUCCAAAAAGUAACGCAGUCUCUAGGUCAAGCAUAUAGGGUGAGUAUUGUAAGCAAGCCUACAUGGAAGCAAAGAUAUCUUGGCUUAGAUAAUUUUUUCAUGAUUUGUAGUUGCCUUUAUCUUGCCCAAGUAUAUGGUGUGAUAUAUGUGUCCUCUAUUGCUAUGGCUUCCAAUCAUGUGUUUCACUCCAGGGCCAAGCAUCUUGAGGAUGACUACUAUUAUAUUAGGGAGAAAGUGAUUUGUGGUGAACUAGUUGUUAAUUUUAUAUGCUUCGAGGAUCAAGUUGCAGAUUUGUUCAGACAAAGGUUGUCCACCACACACUUCCAGUUCUUCCUCGACUUGUUUGCUUGUGGGGGGACGUUAGACAAAGUUUCAUCUAUAGUUUCAAUUUCAAACUCCUGAUUUUAUAUGUUGUUUAUAUUUUUCAAAUUCUAGAUAAGUUGUUGUGUUGUGUUUGAAGUGUUCAUAGAACUCACAUGUAAAUAGGGAUUUACCCUACUUCUUGUAAUGGUUGUAUUGUAUAGCACUUUCCAAUUAUAA
This is a long non-coding RNA of Prunus dulcis (almond), 1560 nucleotides long. RefSeq lists it as uncharacterized. NCBI's taxonomy places the organism in Eukaryota, Viridiplantae, Streptophyta, Magnoliopsida, Rosales, Rosaceae. The transcript is spliced from 5 exons. The record is from RefSeq and is a predicted model, not a curated record.